GGCCCCCUAGCUCAGUGGUAGAGCGUGAGAUUCCAGCACAGACGGUCGGCUCAGUGUUCCUUGAGUCGUUCGUCUGUGGCACUUCCUCAAGGUCAUCCGUUCAAUCCGGGUGGGGGUCA
Molecule: non-coding RNA, 119 nt
Organism: Panaeolus papilionaceus
Lineage: Eukaryota; Fungi; Basidiomycota; Agaricomycetes; Agaricales
Source: the annotation of a GenBank genome assembly